This 2748-nucleotide unclassified non-coding RNA is filed under the name Hevea brasiliensis (rubber tree). The record is from RNAcentral. Lineage: Eukaryota; Viridiplantae; Streptophyta; Magnoliopsida; Malpighiales; Euphorbiaceae.
GGAAUAUUAACAUAACUUGCGGAAUACGAGAUAAAGAUCAAAUGUAAUAGAACUUCAUGACAAAUUUAUUCACUUGAUGGCUACCCAACACAAGAAGUAACCAACAUAUGUAAUUUCAUUACAAGCAUCACAUAAAAAUAGAAAGACACAAGUGCUCUCGAUCCAUAAAUGAGGAAGCAUAUGGCUGUAGAAACACCAGUGCUCCUCAAUCCAUACUCUAUCACAAGAAUAUAUCAUUAUGCCAACGGCUUGACUACACCAGGUGCAUUACACCGAAUGAAUAGAUGAGUGCUACCUGCUCCAAGUGUUUUGCACGGCAAAUAAAUAAUUAUACGGUAUCCUGAGUGUGUCACUCAUUUAUCGGUUUGGUGUAGCCAAAGUAUUUUCCGUUGGUUAUAUACAUUAACAGAGGAAGCAUAUCUUAAACAGCAUGAAUAAGCAAUCAGACAGUAUAUUCAAGAGUCUGGAGGACCAACUCAUCAUCCUCCUUUUGAUGCUUUCUUCUCUUUGUAAUGGAAAAUGGUUGAAGAAUGUAUCUUGACAAGCGGCUUAAAGGGUCCUGCAGACCUUCCAUUUCAUAGUGUCCAAAUCGCCAAUCUCUUUCAAUAAAAGGUCGCUGUAUAGGCUCAUCAAGCCCUCCUGUUACGAUAAAAUGAAAUGAUAACAAUUGAUCUCAACUGAAAAAUAGUAAUAAAAGGAGGGGAAAGAACACGGAAGCCUCAGUGAUUGCACACAGCAGUCGUUUGAUACUUCCAUUUAAGAGUUAGCAUUGGGAGAACCAAGUAAACAAACAGGCAAGCUCCCCAAAACCCCUGUGAAGAAUGAGUCUAACCAACUAGCUCGCUCAGCAUAAAUUGAUACAUGACAAUCACAUGGACAGUUCCAUCUUCUCAUUCAUUUUUACUAUGAUUUUUGAAAGCCUUGCACACUUCCGUUCUGAAGUAUGAAGAGAAUACACAUAUCCAACAACUGAACCAAGUAUUAUAGAGAAUGAAUUUGAAAAUUAAGGAUUAUGUUGUAUCCUGGAGUGGAAAAGUAUGAACUGCUUAAAUUACCUGCAUACAUUAAACCAUGUUUAUUAACUGCCCGAUAAAAUGGUCUUGUUCUUUUCUCUUUAGCAGCUCUUUGGAGGUCAUACCACGCAUGUGUCCGGUCUUCACGUGUAAUCUUACCAGUAGUCACCACCUUGGAAAACAAAUAGUAUGAGGGACGUGGGAUCCGUGCAAGACUAUUUUCACGAUCAACUGCCACAAGUCCAAACUUGGGACCAUAUCCAUCAGCCCAUUCCCAAUUGUCAGAAAUAGUCCAGAACAGGUAACCAAGCACAGGAACACCCUCUCAUGGAACUGAACCAGCAUGCGGAAUAGGCCAUCAGGAUACACCCCACGUCCAGAUUCGCUAUAUUCAUCACUCUCCACUAGUUUAAGUCCAGCUCCACACACCACUUCCUGUCCGUAGUAGUUUAUGCCUAUGAAAUCCAACUUAGAAGAGAUACUAUCCACAUAUGGGAAAAUGGUAAGAGAAUUAGCCAGGGAUACAGCCGCAACAUCAAAGAGACCAUAUGGCCGCAUAAAUGAUACAUGGUGUGCCACACCAACUAAUGAAUUUGAAGAGGUCCUUUGUUGAUGGAUAUAGUCAUAUGCUUUUGCAUGCGCAACGGCCAUCCAAUGCAUGGCCUGGUUGAAAACACCAGUAGGCAAUGCAGAAGUGGCAACCUCCAACAUGUCAGGAUGACCACCAGGCCAAGCACCAGCACAAUAAGUUAGCAAACAAAACACAUGAGGCUCAUUAAAUGUCACCCAAUAGUCGACCAGCUCUGAUACACUGUCAACAACAAGCCUAGUAAAAUCCACAAAGUAAUCAACAGUUUUUUCAAGCUUCCAUCCACCAUAUUCACCAGCCCAUGGCGGCAAUGAGUGAUGGAAAAGGGUCAGCAUCACCUUCAUUCCAUAAGAACGAACCCUGUUGAUGAUCCACUUAUACCGCUCCAGAGCUGCAAAAUUUACAGUUUCUUUAAGCCCAUUGACAGGUUCCUCUGGCAUAACUCGUGUCCAAUCUAUUCCCAUUCGGAAAACACUAACGCCAGUAUUUUUUGCCAAAUUCAACUCCGUGCCAGGAUCGGACCAAAAUUUUAGCCUCUCCUCCGGGUGGGGAACAUUGUGCCAAGCAGCCACAUUAUGAUGGCAUUCUUCAUUUGGCACAGGCACUUCUUCCUCUGUGUACUUCUCAAAUCCUCUAAUCAUAGCUUCCAUAGCUAUCUUACGAUGCUUUUUCUUCUUAACAGGCUUAUUAACUUCUUUUCCAGAAACUGAAGCUUGCUGAGAUCCACCAUCAUCAGUAGCUGAACACAUCAGCGCACCUGCUGGUUCCAGGCCACGCUGUGAUAGUGAUUUGUCACAAGGGUUUUCCUCUGCAAACUGGAGCCAAGCAUCAUUGAGCCUGUCUUCAACAUGGGCUGGUGCUGUUGCCAAUCCAAAGAAAAACUCAUUUUCUUCUCCGCUAACAUUAAAAGACGCGAGAAUCUCAGAAGACUCAUCAAUUGGUGACUUGAACUGCCGGAGAUUCUUUCUCCGGUAACGCUCGAACGAGAACGCGUUGGCAGCGAUGGUAACAGUUGCCAAGACUCCGGCGAGCUUCGCAGCUGACACGAAGAGUGCCAAAAACGACAUUUUCAAGUAAAAACACAGCAGCAGAGAGUGAAAGAGCUUGAAAGUCCAAAAAUAACAGAAAAUUAAUAAUUGUCGAGGA